GUAGGGAAUCUUGCGCAAUGGGCGAAAGCCUGACGCAGCCAUGCCGCGUGAAUGAUGAAGGUCUUAGGAUUGUAAAAUUCUUUCACCGGGGACGAUAAUGACGGUACCCGGAGAAGAAGCUCCGGCUAACUUCGUGCCAGCAGCCGCGGUAAUACGAAGGGGGCUAGCGUUGCUCGGAAUUACUGGGCGUAAAGGGCGCGUAGGCGGACAGCUUAGUCAGAGGUGAAAGCCCAGGGCUCAACCUUGGAAUUGCCUUUGAUACUGGCUGUCUUGAGUACGGGAGAGGUGAGUGGAACUCCGAGUGUAGAGGUGAAAUUCGUAGAUAUUCGGAAGAACACCAGUGGCGAAGGCGACUCACUGGCCCGUUACUGACGCUGAGGCGCGAAAGCGUGGGGAGCAAACAGGAUUAGAAACCCGGGUAGUCC
This 425-nucleotide ribosomal RNA is filed under the name uncultured bacterium. Its description in RNAcentral is "bacterial SSU rRNA". It matches the Rfam family "Bacterial small subunit ribosomal RNA", at positions 354 to 796 of the family's 1533-position model. The record is from RNAcentral.